This 468-nucleotide ribosomal RNA is filed under the name uncultured bacterium. RNAcentral's name for it is "partial 16S ribosomal RNA". It matches the Rfam family "Bacterial small subunit ribosomal RNA", at positions 28 to 507 of the family's 1533-position model. The record is from RNAcentral.
GACGAACGCUGGCGGCGUGCUUAACACAUGCAAGUCGAACGGAAAGGCCCUGCUUUUGUGGGGUGCUCGAGUGGCGAACGGGUGAGUAACACGUGAGUAACCUGCCCUUGACUUUGGGAUAACUUCAGGAAACUGGGGCUAAUACCGGAUAGGGGCUCCUGCUGCAUGGUGGGGGUUGGAAAGUUUCGGCGGUUGGGGAUGGACUCGCGGCUUAUCAGCUUGUUGGUGGGGUAGUGGCUUACCAAGGCUUUGACGGGUAGCCGGCCUGAGAGGGUGACCGGCCACAUUGGGACUGGGAUACGGCCCAGACUCCUACGGGAGGCAGCAGUGGGGAAUAUUGCACAAUGGGCGGAAGCCUGAUGCAGCAACGCCGCGUGCGGGAUGACGGCCUUCGGGUUGUAAACCGCUUUCGCCUGUGACGAAGCGUGAGUGACGGUAAUGGGUAAAGAAGCACCGGCUAACUACGUG